This 436-nucleotide long non-coding RNA is filed under the name Fukomys damarensis (Damara mole-rat). Its description in RNAcentral is "lncRNA (ENSFDAG00000022461.1)". The record is from RNAcentral. Lineage: Eukaryota; Metazoa; Chordata; Mammalia; Rodentia; Bathyergidae.
CAGCAAGUACAUGAAAGGGCAUUCUAAAUGCCAUACCAUCACAUGCAAAGCCUGGCACCCAGCUCAGCUUGGGCACAUCCUGUGAGCCCAAGUCUGGGAGAUAUAAAGAGGCGAAGGUUGGAAAGUCUUCUGAUAAUGUCCCUGGAGCACACCACAGGGAUCGAACUCAGGACCUUGCACUUGCCAGGCAGGUGCAGUGCUACUGAGCUACAUCCCUAUAGCCCCGGCACCGAACUGAAUUUUAAAGCAUAGGAGUUGAGUAGCUAAAGAAGAAAGGGAAAGGCAUUUCAGGAAAGAGAGAACCAAAUGGCCAGAGGCACAGAAGAAUGAAGUGCAAGGCAGGAGAGGAGCAGCUCUCUCAGUGCCUUAUCUCUGCAGUAAACAAGAGCACUGAAGGCAGUGAUGAUGAAGAUGCAGAAAGGGCCACAUGCCAGAG